UCAUUUCAUACGUAAAGGGAAAAGUACAGGCUUUUGCCAAACCAGAAACCAUGCGGAUUUUGUCAGGGUUGUUACUCUCAACACCCAAUCGUGCAUCUCAGCUCCCAAUCAUGCAUCGUACGGCGAACCUAGCUCAGAGCACGAAUCCGACCAGCCCCGACCCAAUCCCCUCACCCGCCCACAUAUAGAAAUACUGAUAGUAGUACGAUUCGGACGGUGACCGGGGCGAGGAGGGCAGUGGACUGACCUAAGGCGGAGAUCUUCUCCCUGAGCUGCGCCAGCUCCGCCCGGAGCGCGGCCGCCUCGGCGGCCUCCUUGACUCCGCCCGCCGCGAUCUCCCCGGCCCCCGCCGGGUCCGCCGCCGCCUGCUCCUCCGCGGCCGCCCCGGCGGCGAACACCAGCGCCGCCGCGAGGAGGAGGAGGAGGAACCGCCUCGAGAUCCCCAUAUCGCCGCCUCCUGUAACCCAAAAUCCUUCGUUUCUAUCGACCGCGACCGCGACCGCCAGGGAUGGAAAUGGGGGGAGGGGGGACGAGUUCUGUGUGUGUGUGUGUGUGUGUGUGUGUAGUUGUAGAGAGCAGAGAGGCAGUAGCGACGGGCGGCGUAAGGGGGUUGCACGGCUCCUGCUCGUUCGUGCCCCGCGUGUCGUGUCGUGGCGAAGCGCAGGACGGAUCUUUCCUUCCGUGCUUUCAUAAAAAUAAAAAUAAAAAAAUCUCUCUUUCCAUUUCUUUCCCUCCCUUACGCGGGCAGCACGUGACGUGGCACGUGGAGGCCGCGAGGACGGGAUGGAUCCACAUGCCGUGAUGGGUCGCUGACCCGGCGGGCCGUGCCGUGCCUGUCCGGUGGCGGUGGAUGUUGGAUGCCGUCCGGGACAGGUGGGUGGCUCGUGGGGGCGCCCGUAUCGGGCACGCCUCGCACGUAGGCUGAGUUGACAGAUUUUAUGGUUGAUAAGCCAUCGUAGACACUUGCAUCUAUGUCUCUCAUACCCUUUUCAAACAUUUGGGUGGAUAGUUUGAUCGGUUAUAAAAAAAAAAAUUCAGACGAAGCUCUCAAACCGACCUCAAACGUUCAGAAUAACUCAUACCCUUCAUUUUUAGUUCAAUAUGGGAUGUAUACGGGGAAGCCUGGGCGCACAUGGCACGUCCGUCACGCUGGACUCGAUAGCCUGACCAUACCUUAAAUUGCACCAAAUCCCCUAAACCGUUCCUCCUCCUUCCGUCGCACGUCAACAUUUCCCGCAUCCGAUCCCUCGCCUUCCGGCACCCUUGCUUUCCAUCCUCACCACAUGUCCCGAUCUGUUGUCGUGAUGUCUUCAACCCCUUCCUCGACCGCCACGACGGAGACACGGUCCACCUUGUCCGUCGGCGGGCCUUCCUCCGCUUCGUCUUGCAAGUCGGAGAACAUCGCUCGUAAACUGCGCCAUCACCGGCAGCAGCAAAGGGAGUUGGCCGUACAGCUACAUGUGGGCGUCGUCGGCGAGAUGUCUCCCCCAGCGCGCCAGGCUCCCCUUACCCCAUCCAUGCAAGUGUCGGCGUGAAUUGUGUCGUCCGGCAUCAACGAGACCGAGGAGGAAGAGGAUGAGACGGCCGACUGGACCCUUUCGGAGAGCUUUCGAGACACGCAGGAGUCGUCGAUCCAAGAGUGUGAGUCCGCACAGCUCGUUCGGGAGCGGGUGAGCACAGGCAACCCCAUCGCGGGGGCUGCCCACAACAUGUUCGACGAAACGUCUCAACAAGACCGGGUACGUUUGCUCGUGUUCGAUCAAAUGAUUAAUAUUUCGUAUAGUUCACUAGUUUGCACAAGAUGAUUGCAAACCUUGAACUGUAGGAGACAUACUUGGCAAAUAUGAUCGAUGAGAAUGAAGAUCUGGUCCAUGUGGAAUAUGAAAUGGAGGAGACCGACGCAUUUGUGAUUGGGGCAACAUCUGGUCCCAAUCCUACCAAGAAGAAGAAGAAGCACAAGACGUCGAAGGAAAGAGGGCUUGCUUUCUCAAGAUACGAGGACAUCAUGUUAAUUCAAUCUUGGUUGAACACAACAUUGGAUCCAAUAAGUGGCACCGAGCAAAAGGGGAGCACGUAUUGGGAGAAAAAUUGGAAGGACUAUCAUGAACGAAAUGAGUAUGUGGAGCCGCAUCCUAUCAUGAGUGCCCGUAAUGUGGCAUCUCUCCAACAUCGAUGGGGUCAUACAAGGAGAAGUGAACAAGUACGUCGGUUACUACUCACAAGUGAACAAACGGUCUCAAAGUGGGAUGGGAGUGGUAACUCAUGUAAGCUCGAUCGCCUCAUCUUACUGUCAUUUUAAUAUGUUCAUGUGUUUUUCAUUCUUGUGCUCAUACGCAUUUUUUAUGCUAGGCGGCGGUGGCGGCCACUUUGUAUCACGAGGUCAAGAAGAGACCAUUUACUUUUAGUCAUUGUUGGCUCUUAUUGAAUGGCAAGCCAAAGUGACAACAAGUUAUGGCCGACCUCAAGGACAAAAAAGAGGAAUGAUGGCUCAAGCUCCCACCAAUCCAUUGGGUUGGACGAUGAUGACGACGAUGUUGUCGUCGCCAAUGGAAAAGUUAUCGUGUCAAAGGAUAACCGGCUACUCAUGGGAACUAAGUGGGAGAAGGCAAGGACCGCGACUACAAAAAUGUCGUCCACAUGGACGGGCAUUUUUUUCGAUAAGCGGGAGCAAGAAAGAGGAGAGGUACAAGCUUAUGUUGGACUCGUAGAAGGAGAGGAUGGAGUAGGAUCGGACAAGGGCAGAGGGGCGACUUGGAAUUGAGAGGGGGGAGAUUGAGUUGGAGAAGCAAGAGGCGACGAUCAAAUGGGAACUUCAGAACGCCAAGACAUUUGGAGACAUUGAGCUCGGGAAGGAGAGGUUGCAACUCUCACGCGACGCGGAGGAUGCAAAAAUCAUGCUCGCGGAUGAAUCUCUUUGGAUGAACAUGCCAAAAAAUGAUCUGCGGACAAAAAGAAGAAGAUCAACGACCGUAGAACGUUGGAGACGGCCAGGGCGGCUACGACAUCGGGAGCGGAACAGAGCUAGGAUGCACGCGGUGGAGGCAGCUCGGAUGCACGGGACGAUCGUUGCUAGGAUGCACGCGGAGGAGGCAGCUCGGAUGCACGCGGAGGAGGCAGCCCGGAUGCACGCGGAGAUGGAUGCCCAGACGGAGCAAGACGCAUGGACGAACUCGUUCAGCAAGUGAUCCGACAUCACUUGUGGGUCGGAUAUUGAUUUCAUUUUGACAUGUCCAUUUGGUUGAACUAUGCCAUGCUUGCUUUUGUUUAAAACUGUUGAAUUCGAAUAAUUUGUAUCGAAUGGUUGACAUGGAUAGCUUUGUACGAAUUUAAGAGUCUGAAUAUAAGGUACGUGGAUGCACGUAACGAAAUAUGAGGGACUGCUCGGAUACGUCCGCGGGCGUGCCCGAACGCGUCUGCGGACGUUUUCAAACGCGUCCACGGGUGUUUGAGGGGUCAGAUUUGAGAGAUCCAACUAUAGAUGCUCUUAAUUGAUGGACAAGCCAUACCCGUUUGAACAAAUAUCAUCGAAGAGGCUGUAAAAAAUUCAAAAACAUACUAUCACAUAUGUCAAGUCCAUGACCUAAACUUGGAUGGACAGGUUUCAAAGCUAACAUGUGUGUUAUGCUCGGUUGUUUUAGUUUUUUACAUACUCUCUCCAUCAGGGUUUACUGGAUCUUCUUUUAUUUUAUCAAACUUUGAUCGUGUGUAUAACUAGUAAAAUCUAAAGUAUGUGCUAUAAAAAAUAUAUUCUUGAAUUUUAUAUAGUGAUUCUCACACAUAACUUUUAUGACAUGUAAUUUACAUCUUAUCUUUUUCACUACUAAAGAUUUGAGUUGAUGGUGAGUUCACUCACCCCGUCCUCCAUCUACAUGUGGGGCCUACUAUAACAUCAACCUAAAUAAAAUAUGUGUCAAUACCUUAAUAAAUAAACUAAUGAAACUGCCCAAUACCAAGCUAGGAAGCCCAUUUCCUGUCGUUGGAGCCUUGCUUCUGCCCGGAGCGAGCAGCUUGGCCUCCGGUCAUGCUCGUGCACUAUUCCACAUGGUCGCGGCUGCCCUCUUGGACAUCGGCUGUGAGUGGGCGCCGCUGGCCACUCGGACCUACGGCCACCGUCGCCCUAGAGCUCACGCCACCAAUUUCCCUUGGGUGGUUAGCUUGACAUUUUACACAUUCAAGUUAUUCAAAUAGCGUGUGAUUGUACGUAAUAAUUAUAUGUAUAUGUCAUUCUAAAAGACAGUAUGGAAAAAUUAUAUUAGCAGAAAAGAAUCCUUGUAUACUAAAUUAGUAGAACAUAAUAAUUAGCAUUGAAUCUAUUGUAAAUCUGUAAUAGUGGUGCAUGAAUGUGAUAAACCAAAGGUGUUUCACACGGUUAUGUUAUGCCAAAAACUUUGACAAAUUCCAUUCGAAAAAGUCAAGUUAUGUGUCGUCAGAUGAUGUGGGUUUAUCAGACCAAUUACGUAGAUGUGCCAUUUACUACUUGUAUUACUGGUGGAAUCGGGCAUGUAUUGCAAUGUUAGAAUGAGCAAAAACCUACGGGCAUUGAGCAACUAGCAUGGUGAAUCAUCGUAGGAGCAUUUGGACUUUUUUUAGUCAAGCACAAGAAAUCAAGAACUGAGUCCAACAAGCCUUAAUUGAUAUUACCAUUUUGUCUAUAUUAUUGCAUUCAGUAAUUAUGCCGUAGCCUAGGUUGUCAUUGCACAUAACUGAUGGUUAAUAGUAUAAAAUAAUUAAAAUUAUUUUAGAAAUUAUGUUUACUUUCUACUGUUCAUAUAGUAACAUACGAGCAAGUUAUUUUUCAUUGCCUCUAUAGCAACGCACGGGCACUAUGCUAGUCAGUUAUUAAAUUUGUGAUCAAAUUUUGGCACAAAAAAUAAGAAGGGACUAAUAUAUCCGGACGGAGGAAGCACUACUCUUUGCAAUUUUAUUCUCCCUGGUAACAUCUAAGAUAUGUUGUGCAAAAACCACCAUGCAUAAGCAUUGCGACCAUACAUGAUGAUUUUGGAUGGCGUGGAGGCAACCUAGGAUUUUUGCACGAGGUAGGGAGUGGAGCAUUUGGUAGGGAAACAAGCAUUUCAGGGGCGAGUCGAGACAUUUUUCUCACUUGUUGGUAACAAAUACAGCCAUAAUUUUUUUUAAAGAAACAAGAAGAAACAACCAUAGCUUGUUGCAGAUAUGUGAUCUACAAAUUUUUGACAUUUGACCUUUCAUCUUUGUAGAAUUGGCCAUUCAAUGCCGCUCCAGUAUGGAGUCAGUGGAAUUCAUAGCUUUUUAUUCUUUUUUUCUAGGAUCAAGUGGAUUUCGUAGUUGGAGGCCUCCCUUGUAUACCUGAUAACAUGGACUUUAUAAUUUGCCUCAGAUCAGCAAAGAUCUCCCCUCCUUCCCGGAUGCAUGCAAAGAUACAUCCUUUAAGUCCAAAUGGUUCCAACACAAAGUCCAAAGAUGCGGGUGUACAUAGUCUAAAGUCUAGACUUGAGAUGCCAUCAAAUAAUCUACAGCCUCAACCUGUAAAUUGGGUCCUUAAACAUCCGCGGAUGCGUCCGUGGAUAAUGACCGGACAUGCCUAAAAGAAUCAUUUGCAACUACAUAUCCUAUUUUCAAAAUAACAGAUACAUGUAAAGAUGUGCACGUCGAUCAUCACGUUCGUGUUGGACUGGAGAGACACCGAAUAAGCAUUCUUUAGUUAAGAUUUUCACAUAUGUAUUGGCCCGACGGGUUUGAGAAGUUUUUAGUCCCACCUCGUCGUCUUAGGAGCUAAUCCACAGGCUUAAAUAGUUAGGUCGUCCAAUAAUGAUAAGCUUCAGUCAUUGUUGUACCAUUUGUGAAGUAUAUGAACAGUGAUUACGAAUCUACUUGGCUUAUCGCAGAGAAAAUUCGUAGGCACGGUCCAUCUCCUUUUCAAAUGGAAUAUUGAUAUUUGCACGCCUCUUUUCCAGUCAUAAAAUAUGUUUUCACUACCCUUUUUGAAUCAUGGAAUAGAAAUCUUUUUCAUUAUAGCAGGGCAUUAACGAACAUGAAUGAGAUGAAUGACACUCGAUGAACAAUCAUCAGUUGCUGAAAUAUAAUCUACUAUCAUGCUACCUCAUUCACGCAACAAGAAUUGAUCCACCUAUGUAAUUAACAGAAAAACUUGUCCCUAUCUGCUGGUGCGGCAAUUUAAGUCGUCGGCGUCUUGCUGGCGUGGAGAGUGGGGUUAAAAUUUGGCUCGACGGAGCGAAAACACACAAGAACAACUCAUAUUCCUGUGGCUGCUGAUGGGACAGCUAUAAAAUGCAACCGGAUAUCCUAUUGUUUCUAGCUUUGGUCCCAAUUUAAAAGGUGUCAGUCAGCCCGACUAUACAGGGAUCAAAUAUGAAGACCGGUUAGUUCAAUUCUUUUAAUCGAAUGCUCAUCGAGUCAAUGCUGCAGAUGUUUAGUGAGGAAGUAGGAGUCCGGCUGUGGAUGCUCUCACUGUCAUGAAUCGAACAAGUGGUAUUAAGUAUCGAUCUCCAGUGCAUCACACACUCUCCUUCUCUCUCAAAGCCGCCAUCAUAGUCAAAAGUUUUCAUAUGGCCGUAUGCAUCUUUCGAUGCAGAGGCCGGGCUUAGCCUCCUUUUUUAAAAAAAUAGUCAAAAGUUUUCAUGUAUUAUACAAAUACUCAAAACGAGCUCUCGUCAAACUCAGAAAUUCAGAACGAGCAACGGGUGUAAAGAAUGGAAUUUAGCACAAGGACAGGACGGGUAAGCGGCGGCAACUACCACCGUCGACCGAGUCACUAACAUCCCAAGUUCCCAACCCCCGACCUCAUAAUAAAUGGCCUGCUCACCCUCAGAUAUGAAUGGGACAACGACGCGAUUGCCCGGGAAUUAAAGGUGGCAGGAUUGGAGUAGGUGUGUGGCUGGUGCAAGGGGGAGUUCAUUGGCAUUUAAGCAUUCGGUUUUAAGGAGGGUUUGAUUCGACGAGGGCCCGGUCGGCGGGUCAUGUCUUGGCUAGCAAAUGCGCUGAAAUGGAGUAGUACAGUACGUGGAGCUGCAGUGAAUCUUUUGUUUCUAAGAACAUGUAAAGCCGAGUCAACAGACUAUAAGAAAUAAAAUAAUAUAUUUAUGUUUAGUUGGAGUAAAGAGAAAAGAAGAGAAAAGAUAAGCGGACUUUUAGUUAAGAGUCAACUCUAUCACGUGCUCCUAAGUACUUUGUGAGAAUGAAAUAUGGGUCAUGUAAUAAAAAGGUAACACACUCUUCUAAUCAACUAUCACAUAUGUUAACUAUAAAAUGGGCUAUAGAUGAUAUGACAAUGGCUUAUAGCCAGCAGCUGGCUAUACUAUUAACCAUGCUCUAAGCGAAAGCUUGGCCGCAAUUUUUAAAUUUAGGUCCUCAAAUGUUUGCGGAAGGAUACAUCCAUAAACAGUGAUCAGGCAUGCCUUAAAUUUUGUUAUUUGCAAUUAUGAAUCAUAUUAAACACACGCUUUGUGUUGAACCUCGGGAGCUAUAAAAAAAACACCAAAUAAAUUGCUCUUACUUAAGAUUUUCACAUUCGAAUUGGAUCGACAGGUUUCGUAUGCCCACGUCCCCACUUGAGGAUCUAGUCGAUCGACUUAAAUAACCUUGUUAAUAGUUAUACCAAUUCAAAUGAUAAUUCCUCAUCGACUUGAGGAGCUAGUCGAUCGACAGGAGUAGUAGGGAUACCAAUGUAUAGUGAUGCCGCAUGACGUGACUGUGAGGGCGAUGCUCACGGACACGACCUCUCUGGCAUCGCAGUUUAAUGUGGAUGCCACAUCGCCAGAAACCAACUUUGGUCAUUGCACAACAUUGAAGCGACUUGACUAGGCAUUCGCAUGGCCUGACCGCGGCUAUUUAAGUCAUGCACCGACAAUGCACAUAUGUAUUUUGUCCUCUCCGUGCCCCUCCUCCUCUCCGAGCCCCUUCAACUCCAACGGCAAUGUCGAAGACAUGGUUUUUUGCACCGGCAGACGGAGGUGGUGAAGGUGGCAGUUCUUCACCAUGUAGAUCUUGGAGCUGCCAUCCAUGCUUUUCGAGCCCCUCAGCAUCCAUGGCGGCAUGCUCCUCGAGCGACGAGAAUGACCAUACGCUACAACAGUUGCGGCCCUGCCUCCUUGCAAAGGCCACUCUGACGGACAAAGAAGUGGUCGCUUAGCGACUCCUCCGCCAAUGACAAGAGGGACAAAGUUGUCAUUAGAGCUCUAUGUGCGUCAUGUGCAUUGGCAUCGUGGCCCUCCGCACCGCGUGGAAGGAGGUGGAGUGUCCCCUUCGCGAGGGGCAUGCAGUCGCGGACCUUUGGCGUCCUUGCACCACUGGAGGGACGACGACGACAAAGACGACGACAACAAUGCGAAAGGGCAGGGCGGCCAUCCGUAUGAGGUGAUCUCCCAGUAUAGGUUAGGAUUUUUUAGUUCUUAGUUAAACAGUUGAAAAAUAAUGACCUUUUAUGUAAAUUAUGCGUGAACUUUAAUGAAAUCCACAUGUUUGAUGAUUUUCAUCCGGUUAGUUCAAAUGCGAUUUGAAAUGUAGGAUGGCCGGCUCCCGCAUCCGUGGACUAGUCACUUGUGUCGACGGACGGGUGCGAUGUGCGGUUUGCGGGUCAGCUUUAGAGAUGACCUUAGAGCAUCUCAAUCGAGACGCCCCAUACCGUCCCCAAACAUCUGGGCUGGCUGUCCGUGUUGGGGAUCGUAGUAAAUUCAAAAAAAUUCUACACCAUACAAGGAUCUAUCUAUGAAGAAACCAGCAACGAGAGAGGUUGUAGAGCAUCUUCAUACCUUUGAAGAUCGCUAAGCGGAAGCGUUACUAUGAACGCGGUUGAUGCAGUCGUACUCGCUGCGAUUCAGAUCGCGGUGGAUUCCGAUCUAUGUGCCAAACUACGACACCUCCGCGUUCAACACACGUACAGCCCGGUGACGUCUCCCACGCCUUGAUCCAGCAAGGAGGAGGGAGAGGUUGAGGGAGAGCUCCAGCAGCACGACGGUGUGGUGGCGGUGGAGCUACGUGGUUCUUUGGGAGAGCUUUGCUAAGUUGUGCGGAGGACGAGGAGAGAGAGGGUUAGGGCUGCGCCGAGAGAGAGAGAGAGAGAGUCUCAAAUCAGCCCCAAUACCUCGGAUGUCUAUAGGAGGGAGGGAGAGAGGGUGCGCACCCCUAGGGUUCCCUCCCUAGGGGUGGCGGCAGCCCCAGAUGGCCAAGAGGGUGGCGGCUAGGGCAGGGAGAGGAGGGUGGCACCCUAGGUGGGCCUUGGGCCCCUCCCGCGCCUAGGGUUUGCCCCCUUUCCUCCCUUGUUGCGCCUUGGGCCUAGGUGGGAGGCGCACCAGCCCACUCUGGGAUGGUUCCCUUCCACCUUUUGGCCCAUGACAGCCUUUGGGGCUGGUGGACCCUCCCGGUGGACCCCCGGCACCCUUCCGGUGGUCCCGGUACGUUACGGGUGACGCCCGAAACAUUUCCGGUGUCCAAAAUCUCAUAUAUAUAUAUAUAUAUAUAUACACCUCCGGACCAUUCCGGAGCUCCUCGUGUCAUCUGGGAUCUCAUCGGGGACUCCGAACAACCUUCGGUAACCACGUACACUAUUUCCCUAUAACCAUGGCGUCAUUGAACCUUAAGUGUGUAGUCCCUACGGGUUCGGAGACAUGUAGACAUGACCGAGACAUCUAUCCGACCAAUAACCAACAGCGGGGUCUGGAUAUCCAUGUUGGUUCCCACAUGUNNNNNNNNNNUCUCAUCGGAUGAACCAUGAUAUCAAGGAUUCAAUCAAUCCCGUAUGCAAUUCCCUUUGUCUAUGUGUAUGAUACUUGCCCGAGAUUUGAUCGUCGGUAUCCCUAUACCUUAUUCAAUCUCGUUACUGGCAAGUCUCUUUACUCGUUUCGUAACACAUCAUCCCGUGGCUAACUCCUUAGUCACAUUGAGCUCAAUAUGAUGAUGAAUUACCAAGAGGGCCCAGAGAUACCUCUCCGUCACACGGAGUGACAAAUCCCGGUCUCGAUUCGUACAACUCAACACACACUUUUGGAGAUACCCGUAGUGAACCUUUAUAAUCACCCAGUUAUGUUGUGACAUUUGGUACACCCAAAGCACCCCUACGGUAUCCGGGAGUUGCACGAUCUCACGGUCUAAGGAAAUGAUACUUGACAUUAGAAAGUCUUUAGCAAACGAACAACACGAUCUAGUGCUAUGCUUAGGAUUGGGUCUUGUCCAUCACAUCAUUCCCGAAUGAUGUGAUCCCGUUUAUCAAUGACAUCCAAUGUCCAUGAUCAAGAAACCAUGAUCAUCUAUUGAUCAACGAGCUAGCCAACUAGAGGCUCACUAGGGACACAUUGUGAUCUAUAUAUUCACACAUGUAUUACGGUUUCUGGUUAAUACAAUUAUAGCAUGAAUAAUAGACAAUUAUCAUGAACUGGAAAUAUAAUAAUAACUACUUUAUUAUUGCCUCUAGGGCAUAUUUCCAACAAUCUCCCACUUGCACUAGAGUCAGUAAUCUAGUUACAUUGUGAUGAAUCGAACACCCAUAGAGUUUUGGUGCUGAUCAUGCUUUCCCCGUGGAAGAGGUUUAGUCAACGGGUCUGCGACAUUCAAAUUCGUAUGUACUUUACAAAUAUCUAUAUCUCCAUCCUGGAUGUAUCCACGAAUGGAGUUGAAGCGGCGCUUGAUGUGCUUGGUCUUCCUGUGAAACGUGGUCUCCUUUGCAAUAGAAAUAGCUCUAGUGUUGUCACAAAACAGAGUCAUCGGGCCCAACGCACUUGGAAUCACUCCUAGGUCGGUGAUGAACUCCUUCAUCCAGACUCCUUCGUGUGCUUCUUCCGAAGCAGCUAUGUACUACGCUUCACAUGUAGAUGCCGCCACGACGCUUUGCUUGCAAUUGCAUCAUCUUACUGCCCCACUAUUCAAAAUGUACACGUAUCCGGUUUGUGACUUGGAGUCAUCCGGAUCUGUGUCGAAGCUAGCAUCGACGUAACCCUUUACGACGAGCUCUUCGGCACCUCCAUAGAUGAGAAACAUAUCUUUAAUCCUUUUCACGUACUUUACGAUAUUCUUGACCGUUGUCCAGUGAUCCACUCGUGGAUCACUCUGGUACCUCCCUACCAAACUUAUGGCAAGGUUCACAUCACGUCUGGUACACAACAUGGCAUACAUGAUAGAGCCUAUGGCUGAAGCAUAGGGGACGGUACUCAUCUUUUCUCUAUCUUCCACCGUGGUCGGUCAUUGAGUCGCACUCAACCUCACACCUUGCAAUACAGGCAAGAACCCCUUCUUAGCCUUCUCCAUAUUGAACUUCUUCAAUAUCUUGUCAAGGUAUGUACUUUGUGAAAGACCUGUGAGGCGCCUCAAUCUAUCUCUAUAGAUCUUGAUGCUUAAUAUGUAAGCAGCUUCUCCAAGGUCCUUCAUUGAAAAACUCUUAUUCAAAUAGGCCUUGAUGCUUUCCAAUAGUUCUAUAUCGUUUCCCAUCAACAAUAUGUCAUCCACAUAUAAUAUGAGAAAUGCUACAGAGCUCCCACUCACUUUCUUGUAAAUACAGGCUUCUCCAUAAGUCUGUAUAAAUCCAAACGCUUUGAUCAUCUCAUCAAAGCGAAUGUUCCAACUCCGAGAUGCUUGCACCAUCCCAUAGAUGGAGCACUGGAGCUUUCAUACCUUGUUAGCACUGCUAGGAUCGAAAAAACCUUCCGGCUGUAUCAUAUACAAUUCUUCUUUAAGAAAACCGUUCAGGAAUGCUGUUUUGACAUCCAUUUGCCAGAUUUCAUAAUCAUAAAAUGCAACAAUUGCUAACAUGAUUCAGACCGACUUCAGCAUUGCUACGGGUGAGAAGGUCUCAUCAUAGUCAAUCCCUUGAACUUGUCGAUAACCCUUAGCGGCAAGUCAAGCCUUAUAGAUGGUCACAUUACCAUUUGUGUCAGUCUUCUUCUUGAAGAUCCAUUUAUUUUCUAUGGCUCGCCGAUCAUCGGUCAAGUCCACCAAAGUCCAUACUUUGUUCUCAUACAUGGAUCCUAUCUCGGAUUUGAUGGCCUAAAGCCAUUUGUUGGAAUCCGGGCCCGCCACCGCUUCUUCAUAGUUCAAAGGUUCAUUGUUGUCUAACAACAUGAUUUCCAUGACAGGGUUGCCGUACCACUCUAGUGCGGAGCGUACCCUUGUCGAACUUCGAGGUUCAAUAGCAACUUGAUCCGAAGUGUCAUGAUCAUCAUCAGUAACUUCAUCUCUAGCCGGUGCAGGCGCCUCAGAAACAUUUUCUUGCGUUGCGCUACUCUCCGGUUCGAGAGGAGGUACAACUACCUCAUCAGGUUCUAUUUUCCUCCCACUUACUUCUUUCGAGAGAAACUCUUUCUCUAGAAAGGACCCUUCUUAGCAACAAAGAUCUUGCCUUCGGAUCUAAGAUAGAAGGUGUAACCAAUAGUUUCCUUAGGGUAUCCUAUGAAGACACAUUUUUCCGCUUUGGGUCCGAGCUUCUCUGGUUGAAGUUUCUUCACGUAAGAAUCGCAACCCCACACUUAAGAAACGACAGCUUAGGUUUCUUGCCAAACCAUAAUUCAUACGGUGUCGUCUCAACGGAUUUAGACGGUGCCCUAUUUAAAGUGAAUGCGACAGUUUCCAAUGCAUAUCCCCAAAAUGAUAGCGGUAAAUUGGUUAGAGACACGACGUUCAGACACACCGUUACGCUAUGGUGUGCCAGGCGGCAUGAGUUGUGAAACAAUUCCACAUUUCCGUAGGUGUGUGCCAAACUCAUGACUCAAAUAUUCUCCUCCACGAUCAGAUCGUAGAAAUUUUAUUUUCUUGUCGUGUUGAUUCUCCACCUCACUCUGAAAUUCCUUGAACUUUUCAAAAGUCAGACUUUUGCUUCAUUAAGUAGACAUAUCCAUAUCUACUUAAAUCAUCGGUGAGGGUGAGAACAUAACGAUAGCCACCGCGAGCUUCAACGCUCAUUGGACCACAUACAUCGGUAUGUAUUAUUUCCAACAAGUUAGUUGCUCGCUCCAUUAUUACGGAGAACGGAGUCUUGGUCAUCUUGCCCAUGAGGCACAAUUCGCAUGUGUCAAAUGAUUCAAAAUCAAGUGACUCCAAAAGUCCAUCUGUAUGGAGUUUCUUCAUGCGCUUUACACCGAUAUGACCAAGGCGGCAGUGCCACAAGUAUGUGGGACUAUCAUUAUCAACCUUGCAUCUUUUAGCACUCACACUAUGAAUAUGUGUAACAUCACGAUCGAGAUUCAUUAGGAAUAAACCAUUAACUAGCGGGACAUGACCAUAAAACAUACCACUCAUAUAAAUAGAACAACCUUUAUUCUCAGAUUUAGAUGAGUAGCCAUCUUGCAUCAAGCGAGAUCCCGAUACCAUGUUCAUGCUUAAAGCUGGUACUAAAUAGCAAUUAUUAAGGUUUAUAACUAAUCCCGAAGGUAGAUGUACACGUAGCGUGCCGACGGCGAUCACAUUGACCUUGGAACCAUUUCCGACGCGCAUCGUCACCUCGUCCUUAGCCAGCCUACGCUUGUUCUGUAGUUCCUGCUUAGAGUUGCAAAUGUGAGCAACAUCACCGGUAUCAAAUACCCAAGAGCUACUACGAGCGCUCGUAAGGUACACAUCAAUGACAAGUAUAUCACAUAUACCUUUGAUGUUGCCGGCCUUCUUGUCCGCUAAGUACUUGGGGCAAUUCCGCUUCCAGUGACCGGUUCCCUUGCAGUUGUAGCACUCAAUCUCAGGCUUAGGUCCUUUCUUUGACUUCUUCCCAGCAACUGGCUUACCGGGCGGGGAAACAACUUUGCCAUCUUUCUUGAAGCUUUUCUUACCCUUUCCCUUCUUGAAACUGGUGGUCUUAUUAACCAUCAACACUUGGUGCUCUUUCUUGAUUUCUACCUCUGCAGAUUUCAGCAUUGAAUACAACUCGGCAAUAGUCUUAUCCAUCGCUUGCAUGUUGUAAUUCAUCACAAAGCCUUUGUAGCUAGGUGGAUGCAACUAGAGGAUUCUGUCAAUGACCGCAUCAUCCGGAAGUUCAACUCCCAGUUGAGUCAAGCGGUUGUGCAACCCAGACAUUCGGAGUAUGUGCUCACUGACAGAACUAUUCUCCUCCAUCUUACAGCUAAAGAACUUGUCGGAGACUUCAUAUCUCUCGACCCGGGCAUGAGCUUGAAAAACAAGUUUCAGCUCCUCGAACAUCUCAUAUGCUCUGUGUUGCUCAAAACGCCUUUGGAGCCCCGGUUCUAAACUAUAAAGCAUGCCGCACUGAAUGAGAGAGUAGUCAUCACUCCGGGACUGCCAGGCGUUCCUAACGUCCUGGGUUGCCGCGGGAAUGGGAGGAUCACCUAGCGGUGCAUCAAGGACAUAUGCCUUCUUGGAAACCAUGAGGAUUGAUACGUCUCCGUCGUAUCUACUUUUCUGAACUCUUUUGCCCUUGUUUUGGGCUCGAACUUGCAUGAUUUGAAUGGAACUAACCCGAACUAACGUCGUUUUCAGCAGAAUUGCCAUGGUGUUGUUUUUGUGCAGAAAUAAAAGUUCUCGGAAUGUCCUGAAAAUUUACGGAGAAUUUUUCUGGAAUAAAAGAAAAAUACCUGCGCAAAGAUCCCCAGGAGGAGGUGUGCCAGCGGGCCACAAGCCCCUGGGCCGCGGCCACCCCCCUAGGCCGCGCCACGAGGGCUUGUGGGGGCCCACGUGGCACCACCGCCCCCAAACUCAGCUCUAUUUAUUCCGUCUCGUCCGGAAAAAAAAUCAGAGAGAAGGAUUCAUCGCGUUUUAUGAUACGGAGGCGCCGCCACCUCCUAUUCUUCAUCUAGAGGGCAGAUCCGGAGUCCGUUCGAGGCUCCGGAGAGGGGAAAUCGUCGCCAUCGUCAUCAUCAACCUUCCUGCAUCGAAAAUUCCAUGAUGCUCUUCACCGUCCGUGAGUAAUCUCCUCGUAGGCUUGCUGGACGGUGAUGAGUUGGAUGAGAUCUAUCAUGUAUUCGAGUUAGUUUUGACGGGGAUUGAUCCCUAGUAUCCACUAUGUUCUAGAUUGAUGUUGCUACUACUUGGCCAUGCUUAAUGCUUGUCACUAGGGGCCGAGUGCCAUGAUUUCAGAUCUGAACCUAUUAUGUUGUGCCAAUAUAUGUGUGUUUUAGAUCCUAUCUUGCAAGUUGUAGUCACCUACUAUGUGUUAUGACCCGGCAACCCCGGAGUGACAAUAGCCGGAAUCACUCCCGGAGAUGACCAUAGUAUGAGGAAUUCAUGUAUUCACCACGUGUUAAUGCGUUGGUCCGGUUCUUUAUUAAAAGGAGAACCUUAAUAUCCCGUAGUUUCCAUUAGGACCCCGCUUCCACGGGAGGGAUGGACAAUAGAUGCCAUGCAAGUUCUUUUCCCUAAGCACGUAUGACUACAUACGGAAUACAUGCCUACAUUAGAUUGACGAACGGGAGCUAGUUACUUACCUCUCCGUGUUAUAGCUGUUACAUGAUGAAUCACAUCCGGCAUACUCAUCCAUCAUCUAUCCACUGCCUACGAGUCUUUUACUACUGGUCCUUGCUAUGUUACUUUGUUGCUGCUGUUGUCCAUCCGCAUAGUUGCUUCCAUCGUCUUUCAACUUGGUUUUUACUAGGAAUGCGUUGAAGUUGAAUGGGACAUUUGCGUUGGCCAUUGGAUCUACAAUAUUUGUAAAGACAAUUUUAGACUAAGUUCAUGAUAAAUAAGUUCAUCUAAUCAAAUUACUAAUGAACUCCCAGUUAGAUCGACAUCCCUCUAGUCAUCCAAGUGUCACAUGAUCCACGUCGACUAGGCCUUGUCCGAUCAUCACGUGAGAUGGACUAGCCAUCAAUGGUGAGCAUCUCCAUGCUGAUCAUAUCAACCAUACGACUCAUGUUCGACCUUUUGGUCUCCUGUAUUUGAGGCCAUGUCUGUACAUGCUAGGUUCGUCGAGUCAACCUAAGUGUUUUGCGUGUGUAAACUGGCUUACACCCGUUGUAUGCGAACGUUAGAAUCUAUCACACCCGAUCGUCACGUGGUGCUUCGAGACAACGAAACUUCGCAAUGGUGCACAUUUAGGGGAAUACUUAUCUUGAAAUUUUAAUGAGGGAUCAUCUUAUAUUUGCUACCGUCGUUCUAAGCAAUAAGACAUAAAACAUGAUAAACAUCACAUGCAAUCGUAUAGUGACAUGAUAUGGCCAAUAUCAUCUUGCUCCUUUGAUCACCAUAUUUGGGGAACCAUGAUCAUCAUCGUCACUGGCAUGACACCAUGAUCUCCAUCAUUAUGAUCUCCAUCAUGGUGUCUCCGUGAAGUUGUCACGCCAACUAUUACUUCUACUACUAUAGCUAACAGUUAGCGAUAAAGUAAAGUAAUCAACAUGGCGUUGCAUCUCAUACAAUAAAUUAAGACAACUCCUAUGGCUCCUGCCGGUUGUCAUACUCAUCGACAUGCAAGUCCUGAAUCCUACUACAAGAAUAUGAUCAAUCUCAUACAUCACAUAUGUAACAUCACAUCCUUUUGGCCAUAUCACAUCACAUAGCAGACCCUGCAAAAACAAGUUAGGUGUCCUCUAAUUGUUGUUGCAAGUUUUACGUGGCUGGUUUGGGUUUCUAGCAAGAACGUUUCUCACCUACGUGAUAGCCACAACAUUGAUAUGCCAAUGCUAUUUACCCUUCAUAAGGACCCUUUUCAUUGAAUCCAAUUCGACUAAAGUGGGAGAGACAGACACCCGCUAGCCACCUUAUGCACCAAGUGCAUGUCUGUCGGUGGAACCCGUCUCACGUAAGCGUACAUGUUAAGUCGGUCCGGGCUGUUUCAUCCCACAAUACUGCCGAAAAAAGAUAAGACUAGUAACGGCAAGCAAGUUGACAAAUCAGCGCCCACAACUUUUGUGUUCUACUCGUGCAUAGAAUCUUCACAUAGAACCUUGGCUCUGAUACCACUGUUGGGGAUUGUAGUAAAUUCAAAAAAAUUCUACGCCAUACAAGGAUCUAUCUAUGGAGAAACCAACAACAAGAGAGGUUGUAGAGCAUCUUCAUACCUUUGAAGAUCGCUAAGUGAAAGCGUUACUAUGAACGCGGUUGAUGGAGUCGUACUUGCUGCGAUUCAGAUCGCAGUGGAUUCCGAUCUAUAUGCCGAACUACGGCACCUCCGUGUUCAACACAUGUACAGCCCGAUGACGUAUCCCAUGUCUUGAUCCAGCAAGGAGGAGGGAGAGGUUGAGGGAGAGCUCUGGCAGCACGACGGCGUGGUGGCGGUGGAUCUACGUGGUUCUCCAUCAGAGCUUCGCUAAGCUGUGCGGAGGACGAGGAGAGAGAGGGGUAGGGCUGCGCCGAGAGAGAGAGUUCAUGUCUCAAAUCAGCCCCAAUACCUCGGGUAUUUAUAGGAGGGAGGGAGAGAGGGUGUGCACCCCUAGGGUUCCCUCCCUAGGGGUGGCGGCAGCCCUAGAUGGCCAGGAGGGCUGCGGCUAGGGCAGGGAGAGGAGGGUGGCGCCCUAGGUGGGCCUUGGGCCCCUCCCGCGCCUAGGGUUUGCCCCCUUUCCUCCCUUGUUGUGCCUUGGGCCUAGCUGGGAGGCGCACCAGCCCACUCUGGACUGGUUCCCUUCCACCUUUUGGCCCAUGACAGCCUUUGGGGCUGGUGGCCCCUCCCGGUGGACCCUCGUAACCCUUCUGGUGGUCCCGGUACAUUACCGGUGACGCCCGAAACAUUUCCGGUGUCCAAAAUAUCACUUCCUAUAUAUAAAUCUUUACCUCGGACCAUUCCAGAGCUCCUCGUGACAUCCGGGGUCUCAUCCGGGAAUCCGAACAACCUUCGGUAACCACGUACACUAUUUCCCUAUAACCAUGGCAUCAUCGAACCUUAAGUGUGUAGACCCUACGGGUUCGGGACACAUGUAGACAUGACCGAGACAUCUCUCCGGCCAAUAACCAACAGCGGGGUCUGGAUAUCCAUGUUGGUUCCCACAUGUUCCACGAUGACCUCAUCGGAUGAACCAUGAUGUCAAGGAUUCAAUCAAUCCCGUAUGCAAUUCCCUUUGUCUAUCGGUAUGAUAUUUGCCUGAGAUUCGAUCGUCGGUAUGCCUAUACCUUGUUCAAUCUCGUUAGUGGCAAGUAUCCUUACUCGUUACAUAACACAUCAUCCCGUGGCUAAUUCCUUAGUCACACUGAGUUCAAUAUGAUGAUGGAUUACCGAGUGGUCCCAGAGAUACCUCUCCGUCACACGGAGUGACAAAUCCCGAUCUCGAUUCGUACAACUCAACAGACACUUUCAGAGAUACCCGUAGUGCACCUUUAUAAUCAUCCAGUUACGUUGUGACGUUUGGUACACCCAAAGCACCCCUACGAUAUCUGGGAGUUGCACAAUCUCACGGUCCAAGGAAAUGAUACUUGACAUUAGAAAAGCUUUAGCAAACGAACAACACGAUCUAGUGCCAUGCUUAGGAUUGGGUCUUGUCCAUCACAUCAUUCCCCAAUGAUGUGAUCCCGUUAUCAAUGACAUCCAAUGUCCAUGAUCAAGAAACCAUGAUCACCUAUUGAUCAACGAGCUAGCCAACUAGGGGCUCAUUAGGGACACAUUGUGAUCUAUAUAUUCACACAUGUAUUACGGUUUCUGGUUAAUACAAUUAUAGCAUGAAUAAUAAACAAUUAUCAUGAACUCAAAAUAUAAUAAUAACUACUUUAUUAGUGCCUCUAGGGCAUAUUUCCAACAGUCCGACCACUGACUGGGCGCAAAGUUUCAUCCAACAGGACUUGUGAAAUCUGUCUCACACGCACGAAAUGGCCGGCACUCCCCAUAUCAAACUCAUAUUUGGGGCAGAUAUGGGUAUACCCGUAUGCGCUCGGGCACACUCGUCAUGUAGGAUCCGGCCCACUAGGGCCCAUCUGACCCACAUAUAUUGGACCAUGUCCACUGUAGAUGAAACACUAACUGCAUUCACUCCACUCGACUCCACUCCACCCGCAAGUUGGUGUACAUCGAUCUUUGACCUUCCCCGGCAUGGCACGUAAUGGAUCGGACUCGUACACCUUCCAAUAUUUUAUUUGGGAACAUGUCCAACACGACCCUGAGGAGGAGAGGGGUGUUCGCCUGUUGGAAAUAUGACCUAGAGGGAAUAAUAAAUUGGUUAUUAUCAUAUUUCCUUGUUCAUGAUAAACGUUUAUUAUCCAUGCUAGAAUUGUAUUGACCGAAAACUUAGAUACAUGUGUGGAUACAUAAAGAACACCAUGUCCCUAGUGAGCCUCUACUAGACUAGUUCAAUGAUCAAAGAUCGCUAAGGUUUCCUAACCAUAUACAUGAGUUGUCAUUUGAUAACGAGAUCACAUCAUUAGGAGAAUGAUGUGAUGGAUGAGGCCAAACCAUGAGCUUAGCAUAUGAUUAUGUCACCUAAUUUUUGCUACAACUUUCAUUAUGUCAAGUAUCUGUUCUUAAACCAUGAGAUCUUGAACCUCACUGACACAGGAGUAAUACUUAGUUUGUAUCCAAAUGUGACUUCGUAAAUGGUUGAUCAUAAAGGUGCUCUACAAUAUCUCCAAAGGUAUUUGUUGGGUUGGCACGGAUCGAGACUGGAAUUUGUCACUCCGUGUGACAGAUAGAUGUCUUUGGAGCCACUCGGUAAUACAACAUCACAAGAAGCUUGCAAACAAUGUGACUAAUGAUUUAGUCAUGGGAUCUUGUAUUACGAAACGAGUGAAGAGACUUGCCGGUAAUGAUAUUGAACUAGGUAUGGAGAUAUCGACGAUCGAAUCUCAAGCAAGUAACAUAUCGCUGGACAAAGGGAAUUGCAUACGGAAUUAACUGAAUCUUUCACAUCGUGGUUUGACCGAUAAAUAUCUUCAUGGAAUAUGUAGGAACAAAUACGGGCAUCCAGGUCCCGCUAUUGGUUAUUCCCCGGAGAGGUGUACUGGUCAUGCCUACAUGCUUCUCGAACCCAUAGGGCCUGCAAGCUUAUCGUUCGUUGACGCUAUAGUAGUAUUGGGAUAUAUACAUUGGUGAAGGAAUGUUGUUCAGAGUCUCGUAUGAGAUCCCGGAGAACAUGAGGAUCUACGGAAUGGUCCAUAGGUAAUGUUUUAUCUAUGAGAAUUCAUAUUUGGGCCAUGGGAAAACUUCCGGGUUUUACCGGCAAACCAUUGGGAGUGCUAGUAAGGUUCCGAGGGUCGUGUUGGGAAUAUACCCUAGAUGCAAUAAUAAAUUGGUUAUUAUCAUACUUCCUCGUUCAUGAUAAUCAUAUAUUAUCCAUGCUAUCAUUGUAUUGAUUGGAAAAUCAGAUACAUGUGUGGAUACAUAGACAACAUAGUGUCCCUAGUAAGCCUCUACUAGACUAGCUCGUUGAACAAAGAUGGUUAAGGUUUUCCUAACCAUAUACCUGAGUUGUCAUUUGAUAACAGGAUCACAUCACUAGGAGAAUAAUGUGAUGGACAAGCCCCAAUAGUAAGCAUAGCAUUUGAUCGUAUCAUGAAGUUCAUUGCUAUUGCUUUCUACAUGCCAAGUACCUGUUCCUAAGACCAUGAGAUCACGCAACUCCCUGACACCGGAGGAAUGCCUUGUGUGUAUCAAACGUCACAACGUAACUAGGUGAUCAUAAAGAUGCUCUACAGGUAUCUCUAAGGGUGUCUGUUGGGUUGGCAUGGAUCGAGACUGGGAUUUGUCAGUCCGUAUGACGGAGGGGUGAUACGUCUCCAACGUAUCUAUAAUUUUUUGAUGGUUCCAUGCUAUUAUCUUGUCAAACUUUGGAUGUUUUGCAUGCCUUUUAUAUAUUUUUUGGGACUAACUUAUUAACUCAGUGCCAAGUGCCAGUUCCUGUUUUUUUCCAUGUUUUUUACCCCUUUCAGAGGAGGAUUUUGAACGGAGUCCAAACGGAAUGAAACUGCCAAAAAGAUUUUUUCGGAACAUAAAAAGAUCGGGAAGCAAGAGAAUCAGGGCAGGGGGCCACCAGGGACCCCACAAGCCCUCAUGGCACGGCCAGGGGGGCCCGCGCCCUCCUGUCUUGUGGGCUCCCUGAGCCUCCUCUGCCCUAGGUUUUGCGCCUAUAUAUUCCCUAAAAUCCCAUAAAAAAUCAGGAGAUCAUCGAAUGUACUUUUCCUCCGCCGCAAGCUUCUGUCCCUGCAAGAUCCCAUCUGGGGCACGUUUUGGUGCCCUGCCGGAGGGGGGAUUCGGAUACGGAGGGCUUCUUCAUCAACACCAUGACCUCUCCGAUGAUGCGUGAGUAGUUCACCAUAGACCUACGGGUCCAUAGCUAGUAACUAGAUGGAUUCUUCUCUCCCUUGGAUCAUCAAUACUAAGUUCUCCAUGAUCUUCAUGGAGAUCUAUCCGAUGUAAUCUUCUUUUGCGGUGUGUUUGUCGAGAUCCGAUGAAUUUUGGAUUUAUGAUCAGAUUAUCUAUGAAUCUUAUUUGAGUUUCUUCUGAUCUCUCUUAUGCAUGAUUUCAUAUCCUUGUAAUUCUCUUCGAGUUGUGGGUUUUGUUUGGCCAACUAGAUCUAUCAUUCUUGCAAUGGGAUAAGUGCUUGGUUUUGGGUUCAUACCAUGCGGUGACCUCACCGAGUGACAGAAGGGGUAGCGAGGCACGCAUCGUGUUGUUGCCAUCAAGGGUAAAAAGAUGGGGUUUUCAUCAUUGGUUUGNNNNNNNNNNGAUUCUUGCAAUGGGAGAAGUGCUUGGUUUUGGGUUCAUACCGUGCGGUGACCUCACCGAGUGACAGAAGGGGUAGCGAGGCAUGCAUCAUGUUGUUGCCAUCAAGGGUAAAAAGAUGGGGUUUUCAUCAUUGGUUUGAGAUUAUCCCUCUACAUCAUGUCAUCUUGCUUAAGGCGUUACUCUGUUCGUCAUGAACUCAAUCCACUAGAUGCAUGCUGGAUAGCGAUCGAUGUGUGGAGUAAUAGUAGUAGAUGCAGAAAGUAUCGGUCUACUUGUCNNNNNNNNNNUUCUUGCUUAAGGCGUUACUCUGUUUGUCAUGAACUCAAUACAUUAGAUGCAUGCUGGAUAGCGGUCAAUGUGUGGAGUAAUAGUAGUAGAUGCAGAAAGUAUCGGUCUACUUGUCUCGGACGUGAUGCCUAUAUGUAUGAUCAUUGCAUUAGAUAUUGUCAUGACUUUGCUGUUCUAUCAAUUGCUCGACAGUAAUUUGUUCACCCACCGUGAUAUUUGNNNNNNNNNNNNNNNNNNNNNNNNNNNNNNNNNNNNNNNNNNNNNNNNNNNNNNNNNNNNNNNNNNNNNNNNNNNNNNNNNNNNNNNNNNNNNNNNNNNNUCGUCGGCACACCCGUCGCUCCCCUGCUCUCCUUCUCUCCCCCGCUCUUCGUCGUCCCGCCGCAGGUCUUUGUCGUCCCGACAUUCUCUUCCUCCCUCCCCCGUUCUCCGUCGUCCCGGCGAUAGAUCAUGCCGCCGGCGGCGGCGGGCCGGAGAGCAACUGGCCCCAGAGCCUCGACAAGCCUCUGACGCAGGAGCUAUACAACUUCGGCCUCCUCGUCCCGCCGGGGUGCCGCCUUGCAAAACCGUGGAGGAUUUGCAAGGACGGUUAUCCGACGCUGGACAACCCCGCAACGCCGGGUCCACCCCGGCGGCCGCUAGAACACCCGCGGCCGGCACGCCUAUUGGGACGGGAAAAUCUACAACGACGUCAUCAGGCGUUACCGGCAGGCGGCGUCGACGGCAUCCCGCGUCGCCGUCGGGCGGCGAUCCCCCACCCACCUCCGGCGCCCCGGUGGUGGCCCCGGCUGUCCCGGCGGAGUACGAAGUGCCGCCGGAACAGUUCGUCCUCCGCGAGGACGGCGACCCCGACGACUCGCCGGGGCUACUCGUCGCCAUGCGGGCGUCUCAGGCGACGGAAGAGGCGGAGAUCGCGGCGGCGAUCCAGGCGAUGCCGGCAGCGGCGACAAUGGGGCGAACCUGCCACCCGUCGGCGAUGACGACGACUGGGACGCCCUCGCUAACAGCUCCGACGACGACGACGAUGGCGGGGACGGCGACGGCGCGGUGGACGGGCCCGUCGUCGUCUACCUGGACUCCAUUAGAUUAGGAUUUUUAGAAUUUAUUAAUGUUUAAUUAAAUUUCAUUUUUAGUUUUUUUAAUUAUGUUCGAAUGUAAUCGGGAACAAUGAAAUUUUAUCUAAGUUUAUUAUGAAUCUAAAUUCAGUAUUUAUAUUGUUAUUAUUAUUAUUAUUUAUUUGAAAUAUUUAAAUUGUUUACAUUAGUUAACUAAAUAUUUAAAUUUUAUUUAAUAUAUAAAUUUUAAAAAAAUGAAAAAAAAACAAAAAUAAAUAACUUAUAAUAUUUCUUAAACGAUAUAAACAUUCAUGAAAUUAUAUGAAAUAAUUUUUCUUAAAUAAUAUAUAAAUAACUUAUAAUUUUUCUUAAACGAUAUAAAAACGUAAAAUAUUUAUCCAACUUUUGCCCGCACCGGAGAAUUGACAUGCAAUGAUGUCACGCAAAAUUUCGACGAAAUCGGAGACGAAACGCACGUUGCGUCACGUCCGGCAUCUGUUUUUGUCGGUUUUUGAAUGGAAAUUCAUAAAAAAAGCACGAAUUGUCAGAAAAUUCAAAAAUUUGACGUGCCGCCUUGUGAAGUUCAUCGUGAAGCGUGAAAAAANNNNNNNNNNUGGGAGUUGCAAGAUGGCGUUGAAGCACCCCUUCCGUCCAUACCGACACCCACGGGUUGCACAUGAGGUACAUGGAUGCAUUCAUGAAAUUUACCCAACUUUUGCCGGCACCUGAGAAUGCACAUGCAAUGAUGCCACACAAAAUUUCGACGAAAUCGGAGACCAAACGCAUGUUGCGUCACGUCUGGCAUCUGUUUUUGCCGGUUUUCGAAUGGAAAUUCAUAAAAAAAGCACGGAUUGUCAGAAAAUUCUAAAAUUUGACGUGCCGCCUUGUGAAGUUCAUCAUGAAGCGUGGAAAAAAAUGAAAUUUUUUCAUGAAAGGUAGUUGCAAGAUGGCGUUGGAGCACCCCUUCCGUCCAUACCGACACNNNNNNNNNNAAAGUACAUGGAUGCAUUCAUGAAAUUCACCCAACUUUUGCCGGCACGUGAGAAUGCACAUGAAAUGAUGCCACGCAAAAUUUCAACAAAAUCGGAGACCAAACGCACGUUGCGUCACGUCUAGCAUCUGUUUUUGCCGGUUUUUAAUGGAAAUUUAUAAAAAAGCACAGAUUGUGAGAAAAUUCUAAAAUUUGACGUGCCGCCUUGUAAAGUUUAUGGUGAAGCGUGGAAAAAAAUUGAAAUUUUUUCAUUAAGGGGAGUUGCAAGAUGGCGUUGUAGCACCCCUUCCGUCCAUACCGACACCCAUGGGUUGCACAUGAAGUACAUGGAUGCAUUCAUAAAAUUCACUCAACUUUUACCGGCAACUGAGAAUGCACAUGCAAUGAUGCCACGCAAAAUUUCGACGAAAUCAAAAACCAAACGCACGUUGCGUCACGUCCGACAUCUGUUUUUGCCGGUUUUUUUUAUGGAAAUUCAUAAAAAAGCACGGAUUGUCAGAAAAUUCUAAAAUUUGACGUGCCGCCUUGUGAAGUUCAUCGUGAAGGUGGAAAAAUGAAUUUUUUUUAUGAAGGGGAGUUGCAAGAUGGCGUUGUAGCACCCCUUCCGUCCAAACUGACACCCAUGGGUUGCACAUGAAGUACAUGGAUGCAUUCAUGAAAUUCACCCAACUUUUGCCGGCACAUGAGAAGGCACAUGCAAUGAUGCCACACAAAAUUUCGACGAAAUCGGAGACCAAANNNNNNNNNNCGAAGUACAUGGAUGCAUUCAUGAAAUUCAUCCAACUUUUGCUGGCAUCUGAGAAUGCAUGCAAUGAUGCCACGCAAAAUUUCGACGAAAUCGGAGACCAAACACACGUUGCGUCACGUCCGGCAUGUGUUUUUGCCGGUUUUGAAUGGAAAUUUAUAAAAAAAGCACGGAUUGUCAGAAAAUUCUAAAAUUUGACGUGCCGCNNNNNNNNNNCGUUGCGUCACGUCCGACAUUUGUUUUUGCCGGUUUUUGAAUGGAAAUUCAUCAAAAAGCACGGAUUGUGAGAAAAUUCUAAAAUUUGACAUGCCGCCUUGUGAAGUUCAACGUGAAGCGUGGAAAAAAAUGAUUUUUUUUCAUGAAGGGUAGUUGCAAGAUGGCGUUGGAGCACCCCUUCCGUCCAUACCGACACCCAUGGGUUGCACAUGAAGUAUAUGGAUGCAUUCAUGAAAUUCACCCAACUUUUGCCGGCACCUGAGAAUGCACAUGCAAUGAUGCCACGCAAAAUUUCGACAAAAUUGGAGACCAAACGCACGUUGCGUCACGUUCGGCAUCUGUUUUUGCCGGUUUUUAAAUGGAAAUUUAUAAAAAAAAGCAUGGAUUGUCAGAAAAUUCUAAAAUUUGACGUGCUGCCUUGUGAAGUUCAUCGUGAAGCGUGGAAAGAAAAUGAAUUUUUUUCAUGAGGGGGAGUUGCAAGAUGGCGUUGUAGCACCCCUUCCGUCCAUACCGACACCCAUGGGUUGCACAUGAAGCACAUGGGUGCAUUCAUGAAAUUCACCCAACUUUUGCCGACAUAUGAGAAUGCACAUGCAAUGAUGCCACGCAAAAUUUCGACGAAAUCCGAGACAAAACGCACGUUGCGUCACGUCCGACAUCUAUUUUUGUCGAUUUUUGAAUGGAAAUUCAUAAAAAAAGCAUCGAUUGUCAGAAAAUUCUAAAAUUUGAGGUGCCGCCUUGUGAAGUUCAUCGUGAAGCGUGGAAAAAAAUGAAUUUUUUUCAUGAAUGGGAGUUUCAAGAUGGCGUUGUAGCACCCCUUCCGUCCAUACCGACACCCAUGGGUUGCACAUGAAGUACAUGGAUGCAUUCAUGAAAUUCACCCAACUUUUGCUGGCACGUGAGAAUGCACAUGCAAUGAUGCCACACAAAAUUUCGACAAAAUCGGAGACCAAAGGCACGUCGCGUCACGUCCGGCAUCUAUUUUUGCCGGUUUUUGAAUGGAAAUUCAUAAAAAAAGCACGGAUUGUCAGAAAAUUCUAAAAUNNNNNNNNNNUAUCAUGAAGCGUGGAAAAAAUGAAUUUUUUUCAUGAAUGGGAGUUUCAAGAUGGCGUUGGAGCACCCCUUCCGUCCAUACCGACACCCAUGGGUUGCACAUGAAGUAUAUGGAUGCAUUCAUGAAAUUCACCCAACUUUUGCCGGCACCUCAGAAUGCACAUGCAAUGAUGCCACGCAAAAUUUCGACGAAAUCGGAGACCAAACGCACGUUGCGUCACGUCCGGCAUCUGUUUUUGUCGGUUUUUGAAUGGAAAUUCAUAAAAAAAGUACGGAUUGUCAGAAAAUUCUAAAAUUUUACGUGCCACCUUGUCAAGUUCAUCGUGAAGCGUGGAAAAAAAUAAAACAUUUUCAUGAAGGGGAGUUGCACGAUGGCGUUGUAGCACCCCUUCCGUCCAUACCGACACCCAUGUGUUGCACAUGAAGUACAUGGAUGCAUUCAUGAAAUUCACCCAAAUUUUGUCGGCACCUGAGAAUGCACAUGCAAUGAUGCCACGCAAAAUUUCGACGAAGUCGGAGACCAAACGCACGUUGCGUCACGUCCGGCAUCUGUUUUUGCCGGUUUUGAAUGGAAAUUCAUAAAAAAGCACGGAUUGUCAGAAAAUUCUAAAAUUUGACGUGCCGCCUUGUGAAGUUCAUCGUAAAGCGUGGAAAAAAAAUGAAAANNNNNNNNNNNNNNNNNNNNNNNNNNNNNNNNNNNNNNNNNNNNNNNNNNNNNNNNNNNNNNNNNNNNNNNNNNNNNNNNNNNNNNNNNNNNNNNNNNNNUGUGUGUAUCAAACGUCGCAACGUAACUGGGUGACUAUAAAGGUGCUCUACAGGUGUUUUUGAAGGUUUCUGUUGGGUUGACAUGGAUCCAGGUCCCGCUAUUGGAUAUUGACCGAGGAGUCUCUCGGGUCAUGUCUACAUAGUUCUCGAACCCGCAGGGUCUGCACACUUAAGGUUCGACGUUGUUUUAUGCGUAUUUGAGUUAUAUGGUUGGUUACCGAAUGUUGUUCGGAGUCCCGGAUGAGAUCACGGACGUCACGAGGGUUUCCGGAAUAGUCCGGAAACGAAGAUUGAUGUAUAGGAUGACCUCAUUUGAUUACCGGAAGGUUUUCGGAGUUACCGGGAAUGUACCGGGAAUGACGAAUGGGUUCCGGGAGUUUACCNNNNNNNNNNNNNAAAGAUUGAUAUAUAGGAUGACCUCAUUUGAUUACCGGAAGGUUUUCGGAGUUACCAGGAAUGUACCGGGAAUGACGAAUGGGUUCCGGGAGUUCACCGGGGGGGCAACCCACCCCGGGGAAGCCCAUAGGCCUUGGGGGAGACAUACCAGCCCUUAGUGGUCUGGUGGGACAGCCCACAAGUGGUCUAUGCGCCAAGAGAAGAAAAAUCAAGAGGAAAAGAAAAAAAAGGGAGGAGGUGGGAAGGGAGGAGGACUCCCUCCCACCAAACCUAGUCCAACUCGGUUUGGGGGGGGGNNNNNNNNNNNNNNNNNNNNNNNNNNNNNNNNNNNNNNNNNNNNNNNNNNNNNNNNNNNNNNNNNNNNNNNNNNNNNNNNNNNNNNNNNNNNNNNNNNNNACCGCCACCACCAUCACGCCGCCGCCCCGGUGCCCCACAACCCGGCCGCCGCCGCCGCACCGCCCCCGGCGCCGCCCCGGUGCCCCACAGCCCCCCAGCGCCGCCGACCCAUCGACCCCGGNGACCCAUCGCCCCCGGUGCCGCCCCACAGCCCCAACAACCCCGGCGCCGCCCCGCCGCCCGUGAUGGCACAGCCUCCUCUGCCGGUGAGUCCCCACACCCCCAACCCUAUAUAUGAAUCUAUAAAGAAAUUUUAAUUCCAACAUUUUGUUGAGAUUUUCUUUCAAUGAAUGUAGUAUAUAUAUUUUGGAAUUGCUUGCAGUAUAUAUAUUUUGUUGAGAUUUGGUUAUCCGAAAUAUGUUGUGAUUUAUUGAUAUUAUUAGUACAUAUUUUAACCAUGUAUAGUUUAAUUAUAACAAAAAAAUCGUUUCUUGUAAGGAACAUUUUUUAGGAAUAGCAUGAACAUUCAUUCUAGCCAAUGAAUUAAUUUUGGAGGACUCUCUUCUAUUCAAGGUAGCUAAAAAUCCAUAAAGUAAAUUCAGUGUGCUCCCUUUUAGUCAAUGGAGCACGUCCACCAUAUCGUCAUCAUUGUACUAAACAUCUUUAGACCACCGGUACCAUGGGCUCUAAUUAUAAAAGAUGAUACUCUUUACAUGUUCAUUUUGUAUCACAACAUCACUCAUCUAUUGAUUUUCUCGAUUAUAUGUAUCCAAUACAUAACAAGAUGUGGUAUAUUGGCUUCAAAAAGAUUUUGACACAAACAAUAGUAGCUAAAUGAAAUCACUUCCUUGUAUAUUUUAUAUUUGAUCUUAAUAUCUAGUCGAGUACAACAACCUCACUUUGUAAGAGGAGUGGAUGUGCAAUUUGUCCAACGCUACUAUGGUUCAUUUAACAGAACAUAUAGCAAGUUAAAUAAAUAAUUCAUCUUAUUGCUAUGCCUACACACCAUCCACCUUGUCGCUGUGUUUUUAUCACAUUUACUUGUACCUACCUAUAAUCUAGUGUGUGUGCAUAUAUAUUGCUCCCAUCCAACUUGGUUUACACAACCAGGCUAAAGAAGCUAACCGACAUGGGCAGUGCUAGGGAUUGUUGUAGUAGUUGUUGUAGAUGUUAUUGUAGUUGNNNNNNNNNNNNNNNNNNNNNNNNNNNNNNNNNNNNNNNNNNNNNNNNNNNNNNNNNNNNNNNNNNNNNNNNNNNNNNNNNNNNNNNNNNNNNNNNNNNNNNNNNNNNNNNNNNNNNNNNNNNNNNNNNGAUGUUAUUGUAGUUGUUGUAGUAGUGGUUGAUGUUAUUGUAGUUGUUAUUUAGUUCUUAGAUUUUCAAUUUUUUUAUGUUGUACUAAUUUCUCUUAAUCUUUAUCAUGGCAGGUCAGCAGGUGUUGAAAGAUGGUGGGCGCAGGACUACUAUGGUGGACCCGUUUGAGGAGGAGGCUACGGGGACUCCGGUCCAGGAGCCUCGGGUGGACGGGCAUUCGGCCCAUGAGACUCCGGUCCAGGAUCAGCCUCGGGUCUAGGUGCUUUCGGCCCACGAGACUCCGGUUCCUGAGGCUACGUCCCAGGAGACUCCUGCCACACAUGCUUCGGCCAACGUGGAGAGGUCCGGAUGGGGUGCCUGGCCGGAUCGGUCUGAGGUGCUGGAUUGGACCAAGGUGCUGGAUUCGACCGAGGGUCCGGGUGGCUGUUCUCUUGAUGGCGGGGAUGAGUUUACGGAUAGUGAGGGUGAUGUGCAGGUGGACGGGGCCACCGUGUACAAGCGUGGUAGUACACGUCUCCCGGUCGUGCCGGCUACCCGCGAGCAGAGGCCGGUGAUUAAGCCUGAAGGGGAUAUGUAAGUACAUUUACUCUUUUUUAGCUUUUGCCUUCAAGUUUCUUCAAAUAUAUAAUGCAUUUACCUUAUCAUACUGCAGGGGAUGGGCUCACCCUUGUGGAGUCCGCAAGCCGAACAGCGUCCUUGGUGUGCUUUGUCGGACUUAAUUUUCCGGGGUCUGUCACGUUGCCUGGUGAGGUUCAGGUUCCUACACUAGGAUUUUCCUAGGAGCACUACCAGGUUGCGGAGGCCCCGCCGGAGGAAAUUAUAGAUGGUGUCUUGUGCCACACGAGGGCCGAGAUGGUGAUCAAGAGCUUUUGAGUAAAUUAUCCUUUUACAGAAUUUCAAAUUAACAAUAUAGCUAACUAUUGUACUAAUCGGUGUUGUCUCGUUUAAUUGCAGACCCUCUAUAGGUGUGAGGAGGGAUAUGAGGAGGAGGCGGCCAAGGUUCUCAAGGCCGAGUGCAGGCGGUUAUUACAGAACUUACGCCACGAGGCUUGGCUGCAGGCUAUUCGAGACUACUACGCCACACGUGGUAUUAAGAAGCAUAAGAAGGAGUGCCGCGGAAAGUAUCUAAAGAAGGAGCGGUACAUGAAGGUAAUUACCUAUACUUAAGGCCUUCUACAUAGUUCUGUUGAUUUGAUGUGCCCCCGAGAUGAGGAGGAGAAGUAUCAAAAUUCUUUCUAAUAACUUAUAGGUGCCCCCGAGAUGGUGUGCGGAUAAGAUGGAUUGUUGGGAUGCGUUGGUGGAUGAGUGGUGCACACGGAACUGGCAAGCCGUCCACGACAAUGCUAAGGAUCGGCGGAGCCAAAUGGUUGGUGUGCCACACCAUCAAAGCAGCGCCAACUUACUUCAGUUCGGACGAAACUGGGUAUGUGGUUUGCUUCAUGAUUCAUGCAAUUCAUUCUUCAUGCUAGCUUGAGCGCCUUACUAAUACUUUGUUCCUCUCUUUUAGGCGCAUCACAAUAAGAUGGAGAUGCCACACUUGUACGACCUUUAUGGCAAGGCCCAUAGUGCCUCCUACAAGAAGGCGAAGGCAUUCUAUGAGUCUGACCUGGAUGAUCCAAAUAACUUCACCAACAUAUCAUCCCACCACAAGCUUGUGACAUACAGGGACACGGGGAAGGCUAGGAAAGGGGAGGACUUUAACCCGAGGCAGGAACCUUUGGAUCCAUAGCUGGUGAUGAUAUAUGGUGGCGGGAGGCCCCAUGGCUCGAUAGCCAUUGGAGAUGGGAUAAUACGUUGUCCACUCACUCUCCCGGAGAUCAAGGCGCGCCAGUCAAGCUCCUGUCCUGAGAUAACGCCUCGUUCACGGCCAGUCGAUCUUUGUAUCGAGGUUAGUUGUACGGACUCAGAAAACUUUCAUCCGUUUCAUUAUGUGUGUGACCGUCGAUCAUUACUGUGGUAACGAGGAAUGGUGCUGCAUGCUGCUCUUCAGAAAAAGAGAGCAGCAAACCAGGCUGCUCUUGAGAAAGAGAGAUUGACAAGCCACGCUGCUCUUGAGGAGAGGGACCGGACCACGGCACGACUGAUUGAGGAGGAGAGGGCCCGGAAUGACGCGGGUCAACGGACCCUGUAUGAUCUUUUUGUGGUAAGUUUUUUUCCACAUUAGCCAAAUCAUGUCUGUAAUGUCUGUUUCAUUACUAACUAAUACGACCGACUCUUCAGAGCCUGUGCGAGAAGAGCGNNNNNNNNNNNNNNNNNNNNNNNNNNNNNNNNNNNNNNNNNNNNNNNNNNNNNNNNNNNNNNNNNNNNNNNNNNNNNNNNNNNNNNNNNNNNNNNNNNNNNNNNNNNNNNNNNNNNNNNNNNNNNNNNNNNNGGUGCGAGAAGAGCGGGCAAGUCCCUCCGCCGAUGCCCGUCUUCUCUGCGAUUGGCACGGUGAGUUUCAUUUGAAUGGUCAUUAUAAACUAGUAUUAACAAUUGAGUGUCAUCAUGCUAACUGAGACAUUGCAAAAUAUCUUUUCUGCAUAAUAACUCCCGAGUGGCAUCACACGACACUUAUCCAGGGCAACCGUCUCCAAACGAAACCGCCGCGAGCAACCCUGGUGUUUCUCCUCCUUGAUGACCACGACGGUAAGUUUUGUCAAUUUCAUUUUGAAAUAACUAGAUAAUUUAGCUCCUCCUCCUCUAAAAUGACAUAUUUAACCAAGUUAGCUCCAAAACGACAUAUAGUUAGCUUGGCUUCCACCUAAAUGACAUAAUNCCUCCUUCUUCUCCUUCUUCUUCUCCUUCUUCUCUCCUUGUUCUUCUCCUUCUUCUUCUCCUCCUCCUUCUCCUUCUUCUUUUUCUUCUCCUUCUUCUCUUCUUGCUUCUUCUCUUUCUUCUUUAAUUUAGCUUAUUUUCCCCAACAAAGACAUACUUAGCUAAUUAUCCUCCAAAAUGACAUAAUUAGCUUAGUUAGCGUAAAAACAUCAUAAGAACCUUGGUUAGCUCACAACUUAGCUAAUUAUCCUCCAAAAUGACAUAAUUAGCUUAGUUAGCUCCAAAAUGGCCUAUUUAAUAAAAAAUGACCUAUACAUAGCUAAGUUCUUUCCUAAAUGACAUAAUAAGACCUAAGAGAAGAAGAGAAGAAGAAAAAGAUAAGAAGGAGAAGAAGAGAAAAAAGAAGAAAAUAAGAAUAAGUAGAAGAAGAGGAUAAAGAAAAAUAGAAAUAGAAAUAAGAGGAAGAAGAAGAAGAGGAGGAGGAAGAAGAGGAGAAGAGGAGGAGGAGAAGAAGAAUAAGAAGAAGAGGAGAAGAGGAGAAUAAAGAGGCAAAAUGAAAAGAAGGAAGAAGAAGAAUAAGAAGAGAAUAAGAAUAGAAGAAGAAGAGAAGAAGAAGGAGAAGGAGCCCUCCUUCUUCUCCUUCUUCUCUCCUCCUUCUUCUUCUCCCUCCUUCUUCUCCUUCUUCUUCUCCUUCUUCUCUCCUUGUUCUUCUCCUUCUUCUUCUCCUCCUCCUUCUCCUUCUUCUUUUUCUUCUCCUUCUUCUCUUCUUGCUUCUUCUCUUUCUUCUUUAAUUUAGCUUAUUUUCCCCAACAAAGACAUACUUAGCUAAUUAUCCUCCAAAAUGACAUAAUUAGCUUAGUUAGCGUAAAAACAUCAUAAGAACCUUGGUUAGCUCACAACUUAGCUAAUUAUCCUCCAAAAUGACAUAAUUAGCUUAGUUAGCUCCAAAAUGGCCUAUUUAAUAAAAAAAUGACCUAUACUUAGCUAAGUUCCCUCCUAAAUGACAUAAUAAGGACUAAGAGAAUAAGAGAAGAUGAAAAAAAAGGAGAAGAAGAGAAAAAAGAAGAAGAAUAAGUAGAAGAAGAGGAUAAAGAAAAAUAGCAAUAGAAAUAAGAGGAAGAAGAAUAAUAAGAAGAAGAGGAGGAAGAAGAGGAGAAGAGGAGGAGGAGGAGGAGGAGGAGAAUAAGAAGAAGAAGAAGAGGAGAAGAGGAGAAGAAAUAGGAAAAAUGAAAAGAAGGAAGAAGAAGAAGAGAAGAAGAAGAGACGAAGAAGGAGAAGAAGGAGGAGGAGAAGGAGCCCUCCUUCUUCUCCUUCUUCUCUCCUCCUUCUCCCUCCUUCUUAUCCUUCUUCUUCUCCUUCUUCUCUCCUCCUUCUUAUCCUUCUUCUUCUCCUCCUCCUUCUCCUUCUUCUUUUUCUUCUCCUUCUUCUCUUCUUGCNNNNNNNNNNNNNNNNNNNNNNNNNNNNNNNNNNNNNNNNNNNNNNNNNNNNNNNNNNNNNNNNNNNNNNNNNNNNNNNNNNNNNNNNNNNNNNNNNNNNUUCACCUACUUUCACUUAUAAAUUCCAAUAGGUAUCACGGUAAAUUAUAUAGUUAUUAAAAAGAUCAAAUGGGUAACUUGUAUGAUGUACCUAUUUUGUGUUUUUGAUUCCUAUUUACUGGAAAUUCAAAUCACUAUACCAUAUUUACGUGCAGGAAUAUACCAUAUUUAUGUAUCCUCUUUCUCACAUUUCUGUUUUUAAUAGGCACUUCGCUACCUAUGGUUGACCCGGAAAGUGAGGGUGAAAUAUUUCCUGAUAUUCAAUUUUGGAAGCAGUGUGCUGAUCCUGUCCUCGCUCAAGAUCCAUUUUCUUCAUUGAUGUCAGCACUUUUCUGCCUGCCCAUUGAAGUUUUGACCUCCACAAAAGUCUUCAUCCCUAUUGUUCAUCUAUUAUACAUUGUUUGUGUCAUUCAGGUAUGCUGUUCUGCAAUCUCCCACCACCUAUAUAGUUCUGUUAUGGUGUAUUUCUUUGUAACAUAUGUAUUGCGCUGUAGGCACUAAUAACAUGCUAUGGACAAGAAGCUUUUGACAGAUCAAUCUUCCGUGGCUGCCUUCUUAACGAUGUUUGCGAGGUGAUGUCAGGAUAUGAUAUUGCUAGAGAAUAUUUUGUAUCUAAGCACAUCGAUCCCUCUUGUGAAAAAUGCCCAAUCUCAAUCUAUAUAAGAGAGGUGAUUACUUAAUCUCAAUGGCUAGAAAAGUACUCACGAUUUUUGUUCUUUGCAUAUAAAUUUGACAUAGAAAUCAUAAAAAUUCUAUGAACAAAAAAAAUCAUAAUUUUUUUACAUAUUCGAUCUUUGCAUAUAUAUAUGAACAUACAAACAUGCAUACAUAAAUCUCCUCCAAAACGUCUAAUUCAGCACACAGUGAUGAUUAUAUUGUUGUAGUGUCAAAGCUACCAAUAAAUGCAUAGCAUGGAGAGGUGCAGUGGACAUUCUUUGUCGAAAUGUCGAAAAAGUUUGCACUGAAUCUCUUUGUUGGAUGUAAACAUGAAUAACGUUUCAAUUAGAAAUAAAAUUUGGAAACACAAAUAUUAUUUGAAAAAACCCUGAUUUGUUUCUGAAUGUGUGAAUUAUAUUUGUAAAACAGGAGUGUUUUUGAAUUAGUGGAUAUUAUUUUGAAAACAGGUCCAUUUUCUAAAUUUUUUAACAAAAUUUGUAAAAGCGAGACUUUUUGGAUCUCUUAGCAAUAUGUUUUUUGCGGAUACAACCUGGAGCUCGGGGCAGGGCCUUGUCGCCAGCGACGCGAGGCCGAGGGGUGGUGUGCGGGCACGAGGAGGCAAGGUCGAGGAGGGAUGGCGCAUGGGCACAUGAGGAGAAGGAGGCGGGGUCGACGAGCGCUGCGCGCGGGUGCAAGAGGAUGCUGGCCGCCGGCUUCCAGCAGGGGCGAGGAGGCGGCGCACGUAUGCGAGGAGGCAGGGUCGAGGAGGCGCAGGAUGACGUCGGGAGGCGGGGUCGAGGAGGUGCAGUAGGAUGCCGGCAUCUGGCGCUCCAGCGAGGACUUGGCGAGGGCGGCGCCGGUCGCGAGGGCUUGGCGGCGGCCGACGUACUACUUGGUCCCCUCGAUACUCCCUAAGACAGAGGACACGACUGUGGCAGAGCAGGCCGAGGCGAGGCGACUUGUGGGAUGCGCCUUGACGAGGCCGAGGUGGCCUCCUCGCGGUCAACGCGAGCAGAUGAAGAAACCAACAUGAAGCGACGGUCCGAAUCGGGGUCGGACGCGUGAGAGUGCUGGACGGAUUGGUAGCGUAGGACGACGACUUGGCGGGCCAGAUCGGACGACGGCAGAGGAGGAGCUCGAGGAUGAGGCGGGCAUGUGACACAUGCUUCUGGGCGGUCUGAAUCCGGCGACUUGACGAGGGCGUGCCGACGACAGUUUUGAAUUCCAUGGUGGCAGCGUCAUUUUUGUUCGUCUGAGUCCCCUUGUUCGACAGAGAAGAAAGAUGAUGAGAAUAGAGAUGAGAUUUAUGGUUGGAUUGGGAGGGAGAAGCGCAGGGAAGAGCCGACUCAUCGGCGUGGUCCUGUUGUUGUUGCUCGCUUCGUAAUGGACGAGGACAUGAGGAGGUGCGCGUGCGCGGUGAGAUCUGGGAAAAAAGAAAGACUGCAGUAUGCCGCUGUUUGCAAGUCCCUCGAUGGGGAGUUAAUCUAAUCCGCCUGUAGCCUGCUAGCCGGCUUGUGCGAGAUACACACGGCGUUAUGAGGGACCCACGCAUCGGUAAAUUAUCUCGCGAGGUCCAUUCCUUUUUUUCCCAACGAUUCCCAUUCACAUGUGACAUCUCUCCUUCAUAACACCCGUACAAACUCCAAGUGCAUACAAGUUAUUUUAACAAUAGAUAAGAAAGCUACAGCCGGACCCCUAUUUCAUCUCUAAACGCCCGAACGUUUGUCCGGUGCAUAAGCUAAUCACACACUUUAUUUAUUGCUCAAUAAUAUAUUUUUAUACAUGAAAUAAGUUGUGUCUUUUUUAUACAUAAAACAAGUUGUGUCUUUUUAUACAUGAAACAAGUUGUAUCUUUUUUUACCCGGUGCAACGUACGGGCAUUUGUACUAGUUCCUAAUAAAAAAAGUCAAAAAAGUGAGCUAACAACUCAAACACGUUGGCACCAUUGUUGUCCACCUCUCAAUAAAUGAAAAAAGAAUGAUGCAUACCCUUUUUUAGCCUACCCAUCCCAACGAGGGUAUGCUGGAUUCGACAUAGACAUUUAUUCCAAUAAACGCACACACAUUUUAUUUUAUGAGUAUCUCUGAAAGACCAAGUUAUUUUGAUUUUUUUUUUUGAAAAAGUCAUUUUGAGCUUGAUGAAAUCGUUAUAGACACCUUUGUAAUCAAGUGAAACAUCUUCUAACAUUGAAAAAAAUCGUCGAAGGUCUGAAUUAAAUUCAGUAAAAUGCGAGCAUCAAUAUUAAAUCUGAGACUUGAGCUAUGAUGGACAAAAGAUACCAUUGUUCUAUUAAUUGUGCAACAACAUUUGUUUCACAAAAAAGUUGCAUACUUUACACCAUUGUUGUAGGCGAGUAUAACUGUAUUUUCAAACACUCCCAACCUCUCAGUAUAAAAUAGAGUGACUAUUUUCAUAAGAAAUCUAACAACAUCAGCGACGCAACAAAGUGCGCUCAACCCUUCUAGUCCUCCAUAACACUAAGCUCCCUAGUUUCAAAGACCCCACAUUCAUUUGAGGUCUCCAAUUGGAAUUGAGUCAUCCAAUUUUGAUCGGUCGACAAUUUCUUAAAGCUCUCUAAUUAAAUUCUUUUAUACUAUACACUAUGCUUCCGAAUUUUUAAGACUACCCAAUUAUUUGAGUUAUUCAAUUUACGUUUAGAUCACUCGAUUUCGACCGGACAAACAAUUUCUCAAGCUCUUCCGUUCAUUUUUUUAAUUCACUAUGUUCCUUAAUUUUGAAUCUCUUUCAUUCAUUUGAGUUAUUCAAUUUGACCGGGCCAAUGAUUUUUCAAAUCAACCAGCAGCAAUUGGCCUAUAGAAACAUAGCAAUCCCGCACACCCUCUCACCAUCUCAAAAAGGAAGCGUUGUCAUGUGAUAUUGUAGUACCAAUAAAGUACAUGCAGUCACCGAUGCAGAAAUUUACCCACACAAAUAUAGGUUUGGUUAGCCGAUAUCGCGGAAUCACAGUACAAAACGCACAAAAAACACCACGUUAUAAAUAAAAAUAAAAUACGUUCCAUCAUCUCCCCCACCUAUUCCAGAAUAUAACCCGUAUUAGUUUUUUGGAAAGUUAAACUUCUUUAACUUUGCUCAAGAUUAGAGCAACAAUAUCGACAUCCAUAAUAUUAAAUAAAAAGUAAGGAACUUCAUUUCAUGAUGAAUCUAAUCAUGCCAAUUUGAUAUUAUGGAUUUCAUUAUGUUUCUCUAUGAAUUUGAUCAAACUUUAAAAAAUCAUCAUUUCAAAAUACCAAUACAUCUUAUUUUAAAACCGGGUGUUUCUUUAAAAGCCAAACAAUAUCAACAACCCAACAAAGCGCAUCCAACCCUCAACCCUUCUGGUAAUGAUGAUGUACAAGUAGUUUGCUUGUUCUCAAAAAUUAAAUGGCCGCACACCACUACAAGUUCUACCAGCACAAGAAAUCCAGAUACAAAACAACAUAUGACAUCAUCAUAUUUGUUUAUUCGCAUCUCACAAUAUGAGCAUGUCACAUUUAUCUGAGAGAUAUUUGAAAUGUCCUUGAGAACACGAGUAAGUAUGCACAUGCAACUCACGUCUCAAAUAAAGUGAGUUCACGUGGUAUUAUAGUACAAAUUUUUUGAUUUUUUGGAUGGGUACAAAAUGUUAUGAUGUCACUCAAAUUGUAUCGAAAUUAUGACAUAUUUGUGAUCCAACACGCGUAUUAUAAUCUAUAGUACAAACAUAUAUUCCGAAUCUAAUUUUAUUUUAGUGAGUUUUUUACCAAGCUAUUUAAAUGUGUCUUAUGCCCAACGAUAUGAGAACGCGUGUGACACACGAUCCAGAAACAUGUCUCCGCAUAAAAUUCAUGUUCACAUAAUACUUGUAUUAUAAUGGUUACAGAAAUAUAUUUUAAAAACCAUAACUAAGCAUGUCUUGAAGGUCCAUCUUUUGAAGUAAUGAAGGUCCAUCUAUAGUUGCGAUCUAUGAUUCUUCCUUUAAUGGAUGGAUAUUGUUUUGAGCUUUAUUCUCUUCAUACUUUAAAAUAUGCACCAAAAGUUGCUUCCUCUGUUCAAAACCAUCCUACAUAUGCAUUAUACAACAUUGGUUUAACAAGGUUGUAUGUGCAAUGUGUAUACAAAUAAACAUGGUGUAAAUACUCACCUGGGGUAUAGGGAAAUAUAGCUUUCCAUCCCACACUGGGUGCAUGUAAUUAAAUACCAAAUAACCCAACAAGGCACCACAUGUAUGAAAUAAACACAUAAUGUGCAUUGAAUGAAUUAAUUAAUACUAUAAUGCAUUAAAAAGACUCAUACCAAUGUGAGUUUGUUGAAACAACAGGAAUUAUGCAUUACCAUUUUGAGAUAUCGUCCUUGAAUGCAGGGUUUGCAACUUGGAACGCGAGGUUUAUGUUAUCGACCAUGGUUUUAAGUAUAUUCUUCACCAAAUUAGGUAUUGGUAUCAAAUCAAAAAUUGAGACAACUUUUUUUAUCCUGAUCCAAGAUAAACAAUAGAAAUAUCCCAAAAAUAUCCCAAGGCAAUAAAAUCUGCAAUGAUGCAUACGUUUAGAAACACAUGAAAUAUUAAUUAAGACCAAAUAAAUCACUAUUAUAAAUGAAAAAUCAAAAUCUUACCAUAUCACAUUGUGAGAUAUGAUACUCAUUGUUGCGAGUCCAGCUAUGAACAACAGUUUGAACGAAGCCAUGCCCAUAUUUUCAUGAUGAUGAUGACUUGGGUCUCAUGCAUAGUGGAACAUGAACUAAAAUAAAAAUAAGAAAACAUUAGUGCUAUGAGAAAAAGGUAAUACGUGAUUAUAGUAACUUACACAAAAGUUUAGAUCCAUGUAGUGAGAUCGAAUGUGUGUGUGAAGCUGGACUUCGUGUCACGCUCAUAUCCGCAUAGCCAUAUUAAAGCAAUCAAUAUUCAUAUAUUCAUCUUUUUUAAUAUGUUUUUUGUUUGUCUCAAAUUUAAGCUAAUAGGGUAAGGAUCAGAGCUUUUCACCCAUUCGCUCGUGUAAAAUCGGAAUUCUGUCAAUUAUAAUGACAACAUAGUAUUUAUUAGAAUACAAAAUGAACUAAAGAAAUAUGGUUUACUCUAGUAGAGCAUCAUCAUCAAACAUACUGAUGAACAAGCAAAUUUCAUCUAUUAAGUCAUUGUUUGUUGGGUUGGCAUACGGUGAAAGGAUAUAUGACUACAAGAUGAUCGCCACAUCUGAUGAUGUAUUUGAUGUUUUAAGAUUCUGAGGGAGUCCAUCCAAAAUCACACAAUCCAUGGGAUCUAAGUUGUCUUCAUCAUCUUCCAUGUCUUGAUUUAUUAUAUUAUCAUCAUUCAAUUCCGAGUCCAGUAAAAUGAUAGCUAGUUUUGUUCUACAAUCUGUCAUAUGAUCCUAUUAAAGUAGUAAUAAGAGUUAAAUAGUGAUACAACAUAAAAUAAGUAUAAUGAUACAUAGCGAAUAAUACAUGUGUAGGAGUCUCGAACAAAAUAUCUCCUGUGAAGUACUCCAUAAAAUUUACCAUCCACAAGCCAAAAGAUGACAUGCAUGAUUACAAAACUUAAAUGUAGACAAUAUUUUUUUAUCAAUUGUAUAGAUGUUUUAUAUAUUUUUUAAAUGAAUCGUAAAAAUGAUUUUAUAGAUAUUUGAUAGCUACGAUGAUAACAAAAACCUCACCCACUCAAGUGAAUAGGACAUGCCCUACAAAAAAUAAUGGAGUUGCUAAAAAAUAUUUUUUUAUAGAAGAUAAAUGCUUUUGGUUUGCACUGAGCCACACUCACUCACAAUCUCACCCACUCCCCCUGCCCCACUCGUCCCUCAUCUACGAGAUCCCCACCACCCAACGUCGGCUCUCUCUGGUGGCCGCCCUUCCCCUUCGUCUCCAUCGCCAGCAGACACCCCUCCCCUUCGUCUUCAUCGCGAGCGGACACUGAUACUUCUCCGUCGUAUCUACUUUUCCGAACUCUUUUGCCCUUGUUUUGGACUCUAACUUGCAUGAUUUGAAUGGAACUAACCCGGACUAACGCUGUUUUCAGCAGAAUUGCCAUGGUGUUGUUUUUGUGCAGAAAUAAAAGUUCUCGGAAUGACCUGAAAAUUUACGGAGAAUUUUUCUGGAAUUAAUGAAAAAUACCUGCGCAAAGAUCCACCGGAGGAGGUGUGCCAGUGGGCCACAAGCCCCUGGGCCGCGGCCACCCCCCUGGCCGCGCUAUGAGGGCUUGUGGGGCCCACGUGGCUCCACCGCCCCCAAACUCAGCUCUAUAUAUUCCGUCUCGCCCGGAAAAAAAAUCAGGGAGAAGGAUUCAUCGCGUUUUACGAUACGGAGACGCCGCCACCUCCUGUUCUUCCUCUGGAGGGCAGAUCUGGAGUCCGUUCUGGGCUCUGGAGAGGGGAAAUCGUCGCCAUCAUCAUCAUCAACCUUCCUCCAUCGCCAAUUCCAUGAUGUUCUUCACCAUUCGUGAGUAAUCUCAUCAUAGGCUUGCUGGACGGUGAUGAGUUAGAUGAGAUCUAUCAUGUAAACGAGUUAGUUUUGACGGGUAUUGAUCCCUAGUAUCCACUAUGUUCUAGAUUGAUGUUGCUACUACUUGGCUAUGCUUAAUGCUUGUCACUAGGGCCCGAGUGCCAUGAUUUCAGAUCUGAACCUAUUAUGUUGUCGCCAAUAUAUGUGUGUUUUAGAUCUUAUCUUGCAAGUUGUAGUCACCUACUAUGUGUUAUGACCCGGUAACCCCAGAGUGACAAUAGCCGGAACCACUCCCGGAGAUGACCAUAGUAUGAGGAGUUCAUGUAUUCACCACGUGUUAAUACAUUGGUCCGGUUCUUUAUUAAAAGGAGAACCUUAAUAUCCUGUAGUUUCCAUUAGGACCCCGCUGCCACGGGAGGGAUGGACAGUAGAUGUCAUGCAAGUUCUUUUCCCUAAGCACGCAUGACUACAUACGGAAUACAUGCCUACAUUAGAUUGACGAACGGGAGCUAGUUAGUUAUGUCUCUGUGUUAUAGCUGUUACAUGAUGAAUCACAUCCGGCAUACUCAUCCAUCACCGAUCCACUGCCUACGAGUCUUUUACUACUCGUCCUUGCUACGUCACUUUACUGUUGUUACUCUGCUGCUACUGCUGUUACUUGCUACUGCUGUCACUACUGCUGUUACUUGCUACUGCUGUCACUACUACUGUUACUUGCUACUUGGAUGUUACUUGCUGCAACACUUUACUGGCGCCAUUGAUACAAUAAGUUAGGAAUAGUCUGCCAUCAACAUAUCUGUUUCUGGCACCAUUCCUAUCAUACUACUUUGCUACUGAUACUUUGCUUGCAGACACUAAUCUUUCAGGUGUGGUUGAAUUGAUAACUCAGCUGCUAAUACUUGAGAAUAUUCUUUCGCUUCCCCUGAUUCGAACCAAUAAAUUUGGGUUGAAUACUCUACCCUCGAAAACUGUUGCGAUCCCCUACAGUUGUGGGUUAUCAAGAGACACCCCUCCCCUUCUUCAUCACCGCCGGCGGACGCCCUGCCCCUUCUCUACCUCGCCCGCCCCUUUUUCGUAUCCGCGGACAUCGGGGUACUGCCUGCUCCU
This 41113-nucleotide long non-coding RNA is filed under the name Hordeum vulgare. RNAcentral's name for it is "long non-coding RNA (HVUL_LNC018489)". The record is from RNAcentral. Lineage: Eukaryota; Viridiplantae; Streptophyta; Magnoliopsida; Poales; Poaceae.